This is a long non-coding RNA of Uranotaenia lowii, 1339 nucleotides long. RefSeq lists it as uncharacterized. Lineage: Eukaryota; Metazoa; Arthropoda; Insecta; Diptera; Culicidae. The record is from RefSeq and is a predicted model, not a curated record. The transcript has 3 exons.
AGAAAUGCUUUUUGCGGUAUGUAGAAGAAGCCAUUGUCCGGCGAUAAUUUAAUAAAAAGCGAGAAAACAUCGAACCAUGCAAACAAAGCUUCCAAAGAAAUGUCCACACUGUACAGGCUCUGGUGGAAUGCUAUCCCGGACAUCGUAUCCGGAUCCGGAUCCCGGACACGCUCUAAGAAAACAUCGAUCCAUCGAAUUCCAAGGAAAUGUCCACACGGUACGGUAUCCAGAUCCGGAUCCCAGGCACGCUCAGAGGUGGUGGCUUCACUUGGAUUACUUUUCAUCGAUUUUCGGUGUUAUACUUCAAAAGGAAAGCAAGGUGAGUACCGUUGUCACAAUUAUUUACUAUUUACUUAUUAAACUGAUCUUUUUCAAGAUUUAAAUUUUAAUUCUUGUGGAUCCAAUCUAUAAACACAAAAAAAAUAUUGAUAAUUACGUGUAACUGAAAGUUGUUGCCUUUAAAACAAUUCAACAAGUAAUGGAAAAAAAAUCGUUUUGAUUUAGCACUACCUAUCAGACAGAAAACACUAUCUCUUCAUUUAAGUCAGCUUUCUCUUUAGAAUAAAUUUUUAGAGAGUAAUAGAAUAGUACAGACUAGAACUAAUUUAUUCACUUGUUACUAUCGAAUUGUAUUUCCUUGACCCUAACUAUGAUUUUAUAUCGAUGGGCUGACGUUAAAUCAAUAAAGCACAAUUACGAUAUUAAAUAAAAAAUGAUUUGAUUUUACAACAAAUGUCCUGUAACAAAAAGGAGCAUGACAUUUGUCGUAGUUUUACCGUUCAAAACAAAUUACAGCGUAAAAAUUACAGGUUCAAUAAUUAUUUUCAAGUUUUCAAUCCCACUUCAUCAAUUUCCUGUUCUGUUUAUAAGUAGACUAUAUCAAUCACGUUAUUUAAGUUAGAUUUAUUAUAAGUUGGAGCUGGCUUCUUAUUAUAUAUUGAUAGAUGAUAUGAACUAACAUCCUAUUUUGCUUUUCCUUUUUUCUCUUGUCUUUUUGUAUUUCUUUUCAUGUUGCUUUCUGAUGAUGGCGAAUUCGCGUCAAGUUUGGAAAACUCGAACAACCUUCAAGCCAUCUCUUCACAACAUUGUACCCCGAAGAUGGAUUUCGCAUGAUGUAGUUGUCAUCCCAAGGAUUUAAUCAACACCUGAAAAUGGACGAAUUGCUUAACAAGAAGAAGCUUGCGCCAGACAUCGCAAUGUCUUGUAGCAGAAGAGGUAACAAAAAAUAAAUUAGAAGAAAAAAACGGAAAAAUAAAAAACAAAUGAAAUAAAAGUCUCUAGCUUUUUGUAAACAAACCGAAAAACCUAAAUGAAUGGCAACCAUGCUAAUUGGUCCAGA